Podarcis lilfordi (Lilford's wall lizard) is the source of this 71-nucleotide non-coding RNA. The record is from the annotation of a GenBank genome assembly. Lineage: Eukaryota; Metazoa; Chordata; Lepidosauria; Squamata; Lacertidae.
GGGCUGUAGCUCAGUGGUAGAGCACUUGCUUUGCAUGCAGAAGGUCCCAGGUUCAAUCCUUGACAUACCCA